GCCCGGGUGGUGAAACUGGUAGACACAGGGGACUUAAAAUCCCCCAUCCGAAAGGGUAUGCGGGUUCGAUCCCCGCCCCGGGCA
This 84-nucleotide transfer RNA is filed under the name Pseudoxanthomonas sp. It matches the Rfam family "tRNA". Rfam says of the family: Transfer RNA (tRNA) molecules are approximately 80 nucleotides in length. Their secondary structure includes four short double-helical elements and three loops (D, anti-codon, and T loops). The record is from Rfam by way of RNAcentral. Lineage: Bacteria; Pseudomonadati; Pseudomonadota; Gammaproteobacteria; Lysobacterales; Lysobacteraceae.